CGUGUAUAAAAGGCGGCGACGCUUAGCUACCCUGUUCACAGUACAGUGGAGACCUGCUAGUGCACAAUAUUCGCAAUGGCUGCUUCGAAGGCUCUUGUAAUCCUGUCCCUUAUUGCUAGCGCCAUGAUUGUGACCCAAUGCAUGGCAGAAGAGGCCACGCCAUCAGCCGCCACGUCACCAUCUGGAGGAGGCGGUGGUUCCCCCGGCACCGGUCCCGCCGCCGCUCUCAGUCCUGCUGCUGGUCCUGCUGCGAGUCCUGCUGCGAAUCCUGCUGCGAAUCCUGCUGCGAAUCCCGCCGCGGCUGCAACUCCUUCUGCCACUACUGCAACCAGUUCCAAGUAGAGACCUAAAGGGCACAUUUGAAGCCACCGAAAUAUCUCAAGAUCGCAACUGUUGGCGCUUGUGCCCCCGUAAAUACAACAACCAGUCACUAGAGAAAGACAUCUCAAUGCGGUCUCAUUAUUGCUUUCAAACAAUAUUGAAGUGAAGCACCAACAAAACAGAGGAAAGGCAAAAUACAGAUAGCAUCGUAUCCCAAUGUUCUUCUAAUAUAAAUUGUUGAAAUUAUAAAAUGCAAAGCAGUCAUCUCUAUGAAUAAAUAAUUAUAUUCUAAAAAUU
Dermacentor andersoni is the source of this 618-nucleotide non-coding RNA. The record is from RefSeq and is a predicted model, not a curated record. Lineage: Eukaryota; Metazoa; Arthropoda; Arachnida; Ixodida; Ixodidae.